AGAGUUUGAUCCUGGCUCAGGAUGAACGCUAGCGGGAGGCCUAACACAUGCAAGCCGAGCGGUAGAGAUUCUUCGGAAUCUUGAGAGCGGCGUACGGGUGCGGAACACGUGUGCAACCUACCUUUAUCUGGAGGAUAGCCUUUCGAAAGGAAGAUUAAUACUCCAUAAUAUAUUUGAUGGCAUCAUUAAAUAUUGAAAGCUCCGGCGGAUAGAGAUGGGCACGCGCAAGAUUAGCUAGUUGGUGAGGUAACGGCUCACCAAGGCAAUGAUCUUUAGGGGCCUGAGAGGGUGAUCCCCCACACUGGUACUGAGACACGGACCAGACUCCUACGGGAGGCAGCAGUGAGGAAUAUUGGUCAAUGGGUGCAAGCCUGAACCAGCCAUCCCGCGUGAAGGACGACUGCCCUAUGGGUUGUAAACUUCUUUUGUAUAGGGAUAAACCUACUCUCGUGAGAGUAGCUGAAGGUACUAUACGAAUAAGCACCGGCUAACUCCGUG
Molecule: ribosomal RNA, 498 nt
Filed under: uncultured bacterium
Lineage: Bacteria
Description: bacterial SSU rRNA
Rfam family: Bacterial small subunit ribosomal RNA
Source: RNAcentral